RNAcentral lists this transfer RNA (74 nucleotides) under Telmatocola sphagniphila. It matches the Rfam family "tRNA". From Rfam's summary of the family: Transfer RNA (tRNA) molecules are approximately 80 nucleotides in length. Their secondary structure includes four short double-helical elements and three loops (D, anti-codon, and T loops). Further hydrogen bonds mediate the characteristic L-shaped molecular structure. tRNAs have two regions of fundamental functional importance: the anti-codon, which is responsible for specific mRNA codon recognition, and the 3' end, to which the tRNAs corresponding amino acid is attached (by aminoacyl-tRNA synthetases). tRNAs cope with the degeneracy of the genetic code in two manners: having more than one tRNA (with a specific anti-codon) for a particular amino acid; and 'wobble' base-pairing, i.e. permitting non-standard base-pairing at the 3rd anti-codon position. Lineage: Bacteria; Pseudomonadati; Planctomycetota; Planctomycetia; Gemmatales; Gemmataceae. The record is from Rfam by way of RNAcentral.
GGACGAUUAGCUCAGUUGGCUAGAGUACUACAUUGACAUUGUAGGGGUCACUGGUUCAAAUCCAGUAUCGUCCA